This 500-nucleotide ribosomal RNA is filed under the name uncultured bacterium. RNAcentral describes it as "bacterial SSU rRNA". It matches the Rfam family "Bacterial small subunit ribosomal RNA", at positions 29 to 521 of the family's 1533-position model. The record is from RNAcentral.
AUUGAACGCUGGCGGCGUGCUUAACACAUGCAAGUCGAUCGGUAACAGGUGUAGCAAUACAUGCUGACGAGAGGCGGACGGGUGAGUAAUGCUUGGGAAUCUGCCUAUUAGUGGGGGACAACCCGGGGAAACUCGGGCUAAUACCGCAUACGCUCUACGGAGGAAAGCCGGGGACCGCAAGGCCUGGCGCUAAUAGAUGAGCCCAAGUCGGAUUAGCUAGUUGGUAGGGUAACGGCCUACCAAGGCGACAAUCCGUAGCUGGUCUGAGAGGACGACCAGCCACACCGGAACUGAGACACGGUCCGGACUCCUACGGGAGGCAGCAGUGGGGAAUAUUGGACAAUGGGGGCAACCCUGAUCCAGCGACGCCGCGUGGGUGAAGAAGGCCUGCGGGUUGUAAAGCCCUUUCGGUGGGGAAGAAAAGUCUCGACCUAAUACGUCGGGACCUUGACGUAACCCACUAAAGAAGCACCGGCUAACUCUGUGCCAGCCGCCGCAGU